AUGAACGCUGGCGGCGUGCCUAAUACAUGCCAGUCGAGCGAACGGACGAGAAGCUUGCUUCUCUGAUGUUAGCGGCGGACGGGUGAGUAACACGUGGAUAACCUACCUAUAAGACUGGGAUAACUUCGGGAAACCGGAGCUAAUACCGGAUGAUAUUUUGAACCGCAUGGUUCAAAAGUGAAAGACGGUCUUGCUGUCACUUAUAGAUGGAUCCGCGCUGCAUUAGCUAGUUGGUAAGGUAACGGCUUACCAAGGCAACGAUGCAUAGCCGACCUGAGAGGGUGAUCGGCCACACUGGAACUGAGACACGGUCCAGACUCCUACGGGAGGCAGCAGUAGGGAAUCUUCCACAAUGGGCGAAAGCCUGACGGAGCAACGCCGCGUGAGUGAUGAAGGUCUUCGGAUCGUAAAACUCUGUUAUUAGGGAAGAACAUAUGUGUAAGUAACUGUGCACAUCUUGACGGUACCUAAUCAGAAAGCCACGGCUAACUACGUG
RNAcentral lists this ribosomal RNA (496 nucleotides) under uncultured bacterium. RNAcentral's name for it is "partial 16S ribosomal RNA". It matches the Rfam family "Bacterial small subunit ribosomal RNA", at positions 29 to 507 of the family's 1533-position model. The record is from RNAcentral.